UGGGGAAUAUUGCAUAAUGGGCGCAAGCCUGAUGCAGCCAUGCCGCGUGUAUGAAGAAGGCCUUCGGGUUGUAAAGUACUUUCAGCGGGGAGGAAGGGAGUAAAGUUAAUACCUUUGCUCAUUGACGUUACCCGCAGAAGAAGCACCGGCUAACUCCGUGCCAGCAGCCGCGGUAAUACGGAGGGUGCAAGCGUUAAUCGGAAUUACUGGGCGUAAAGCGCACGCAGGCGGUUUGUUAAGUCAGAUGUGAAAUCCUCGGGCUCAACCUGGGAACUGCAUCUGAUACUGGCAAGCUUGAGUCUCGUAGAGGGGGGUAGAAUUCCAGGUGUAGCGGUGAAAUGCGUAGAGAUCUGGAGGAAUACCGGUGGCGAAGGCGGCCCCCUGGACGAAGACUGACGCUCAGGUGCGAAAGCGUGGGGAGCAAACAGG
This 429-nucleotide ribosomal RNA is filed under the name Chloroflexota bacterium. RNAcentral's name for it is "Chloroflexi bacterium partial 16S ribosomal RNA". It matches the Rfam family "Bacterial small subunit ribosomal RNA", at positions 355 to 776 of the family's 1533-position model. The record is from RNAcentral. Lineage: Bacteria; Bacillati; Chloroflexota.